This 327-nucleotide ribosomal RNA is filed under the name Triticum aestivum (bread wheat). Its description in RNAcentral is "partial small subunit ribosomal RNA". Lineage: Eukaryota; Viridiplantae; Streptophyta; Magnoliopsida; Poales; Poaceae. The record is from RNAcentral.
AUGUCUAUGACGGGAUCCUCAUGCUCACUACAUGCAUGCCGGAUUGCACGCGCGCCCGAUGGAGGGCUGUGGCGCACACAUGGACCGAACUGCAGGGCAUCGGGUGGAAUCUCGCUGGCGGCGGAGCACCCAUGCGCUCCCUCGAUCGCAUUGUGCGACGGAUCCAGCGGCCGGGGACGCAAUGUGAGGUGCGGGUGCUCACUAUUUGCCGCCCCAUGUGUGGCCACGGCCUCGACCAUUGACCUCGCCAUCAAUGGCGGGGAAGGGGAUGCAAUCCUCUUUCUGGCGGUGGGGAUGCAAUCCAGUGUGGGAGGCAGAGAGGAGUGA